This 490-nucleotide ribosomal RNA is filed under the name uncultured bacterium. RNAcentral's name for it is "partial 16S ribosomal RNA". It matches the Rfam family "Bacterial small subunit ribosomal RNA", at positions 30 to 507 of the family's 1533-position model. The record is from RNAcentral.
AUUGAACGCUGGCGGCAGGCCUAACACAUGCAAGUCGAACGGUAACAGGAAACAGCUUGCUGUUUCGCUGACGAGUGGCGGACGGGCGAGUAAUGUCUGGGAAACUGCCUGAUGGAGGGGGAUAACUACUGGAAACGGUAGCUAAUACCGCAUAACGUCGCAAGACCAAAGAGGGGGACCUUCGGGCCUCUUGCCAUCGGAUGUGCCCAGAUGGGAUUAGCUAGUAGGUGGGGUAACGGCUCACCUAGGCGACGAUCCCUAGCUGGUCUGAGAGGAUGACCAGCCACACUGGAACUGAGACACGGUCCAGACUCCUACGGGAGGCAGCAGUGGGGAAUAUUGCACAAUGGGCGCAAGCCUGAUGCAGCCAUGCCGCGUGUAUGAAGAAGGCCUUCGGGUUGUAAAGUACUUUCAGCGGGGAGGAAGGGAGUAAAGUUAAUACCUUUGCUCAUUGACGUUACCCGCAGAAGAAGCACCGGCUAACUCCGUG